AAGUCGUAACAAGGUUUCCGUAGGUGAACCUGCGGAAGGAUCAUUAAUUAAAAUUUAUGCCAUUUUUUUUUAAUUUUCUUUUGAUUUUCAGAAGGAAAUUACCAAAAAUUGGUUAACCACUUUGUGAAAAAAACAUGUAGAAAGAUCUUUGACGAUCUUUCAUUUUAAAUACGUAAUUAUAAUAUUAAACUAAUAAAAAAAACAACUUUUGACAACGGAUCUCUUGGCUCUC
This 232-nucleotide unclassified non-coding RNA is filed under the name fungal sp. RNAcentral describes it as "partial internal transcribed spacer region". The stretch from base 1 to 46 matches the Rfam family "Eukaryotic small subunit ribosomal RNA", at positions 1786 to 1831 of the family's 1831-position model. The record is from RNAcentral. Lineage: Eukaryota; Fungi.